This 436-nucleotide ribosomal RNA is filed under the name uncultured bacterium. RNAcentral describes it as "bacterial SSU rRNA". It matches the Rfam family "Bacterial small subunit ribosomal RNA", at positions 368 to 793 of the family's 1533-position model. The record is from RNAcentral.
ACAAUGGGCGCAAGCCUGAUGUCAGCCAUGCCGUCGUGUGUGAAGAAGGCCUUCGGGUUGUUAAAGCACUUUCUAGUUGUGAGGAAGGUGGUGUCGUUAAUAGCGGCAUCAUUUGACGUUAGCAACAGAAGAAGCACCGGCUAACUCCGUGCCAGCAGCCGCGGUAAUACGGAGGGUGCGAGCGUUAAUCGGAAUUACUGGGCGUAAAGCGCAUGCAGGUGGUUUGUUAAGUCAGAUGUGAAAGCCCGGGGCUCAACCUCGGAACUGCAUUUGAAACUGGCAGACUAGAGUACUGUAGAGGGGGUAGAAUUUCAGGUGUAGCGGUGAAAUGCGUAGAGAUCUGAAGGAAUACCGGUGGCGAAGGCGGCCCCCUGGACAGAUACUGACACUCAGAUGCGAAAGCGUGGGGAGCAAACAGGAUUAGAUACCCUGGUAG